This 478-nucleotide ribosomal RNA is filed under the name uncultured bacterium. RNAcentral's name for it is "bacterial SSU rRNA". It matches the Rfam family "Bacterial small subunit ribosomal RNA", at positions 28 to 466 of the family's 1533-position model. The record is from RNAcentral.
GAUGAACGCUGGCGGCGUGCCUAAUACAUGCAAGUCGAACGCAUUGUGGUUGAAAUGAUAUGAAGAACUUGUUCAGAUUUGAUUUUCAACAUUGCAAUGAGUGGCGAACGGGUGAGUAACACGUGGGAAACCUACCUCUUAGCAGGGGAUAACAUUUGGAAACAAAUGCUAAUACCGUAUAAUAAUUAAAACCGCAUGGUUUUAGUUUAAAAGAUGGUCUUGCUAUCACUAAGAGAUGGUCCCGCGGUGUAUUAGUUAGUUGGUGAGGUAAUGGCUCACCAAGACAAUGAUACAUAGCCGAGUUGAGAGACUGACCGGCCACAAUGGGAGUGAGACACGGCCCAUACUCCUACGGGAGGUAGCAGUAGGGAAUCUUCCACAAUGGACGAAAGGUCUGAUGGAGCAACGCCGCGUGUGUGAUGAAGGGUUUCGGCUCGUAAAACACUGUUGUAAGAGAAGAAUGACAUUGAGAGUAACU